UACGUAGGGGGCAAGCGUUAUCCGGAUUUACUGGGUGUAAAGGGAGCGUAGACGGCAUUGCAAGCCAGAUGUGAAAGCCCGGGGCUCAACCCCGGGACUGCAUUUGUAACUGUAGAGCUAGAGUGUCGGAGAGGCAAGUGGAAUUCCUAGUGUAGCGGUGAAAUGCGUAGAUAUUAGGAGGAACACCAGUGGCGAAGGCGGCUUGCUGGACGAUGACUGACGUUGAGGCUCGAAAGCGUGGGGAGCAAACAGG
This 253-nucleotide ribosomal RNA is filed under the name Dorea longicatena. RNAcentral's name for it is "partial 16S ribosomal RNA". It matches the Rfam family "Bacterial small subunit ribosomal RNA", at positions 524 to 776 of the family's 1533-position model. Lineage: Bacteria; Bacillati; Bacillota; Clostridia; Lachnospirales; Lachnospiraceae. The record is from RNAcentral.